AUUGAACGCUGGCGGCAGGCCUAACACAUGCAAGUCGAGCGGAUGAAGGGAGCUUGCUCCUGGAUUCAGCUGCGGACGGGUGAGUAAUGCCUAGGAAUCUGCCUUGUAUUUGGGGAUAACGUCCGGAAACGGGCGCUAAUACCGCAUACGUCCUGAGGUAGAAAGUGGGGGAUCUUCGGACCUCACGCUAUCAGAUGAGCCUAGGUCGAAUUAGCUAGUUGGUUGGGUAAAGGCCUACCAAGGCGACGAUCCGUAACUGGUCUGAGAGGAUGAUCAGUCACACUGGAACUGAGACACGGUCCAGACUCCUACGGGAGGCAGCAGUGGGGAAUAUUGGACAAUGGGCGAAAGCCUGAUGCAGCCAUGCCGCGUGUGUGAAGAAGGUCUUCGGAUUGUAAAGCACUUUAAGUUGGGAGGAAGGGCAGUAAGUUAAUACCUUGCUGUUUUGACGUUACCAACAGAAUAAGCACCGGCUAACUUCGUG
This 484-nucleotide ribosomal RNA is filed under the name uncultured bacterium. RNAcentral describes it as "partial 16S ribosomal RNA". It matches the Rfam family "Bacterial small subunit ribosomal RNA", at positions 30 to 507 of the family's 1533-position model. The record is from RNAcentral.